RNAcentral lists this ribosomal RNA (468 nucleotides) under uncultured bacterium. RNAcentral describes it as "partial 16S ribosomal RNA". It matches the Rfam family "Bacterial small subunit ribosomal RNA", at positions 28 to 507 of the family's 1533-position model. The record is from RNAcentral.
GACGAACGCUGGCGGCGUGCUUAACACAUGCAAGUCGAACGGAAAGGCCCUGCUUUUGUGGGGUGCUCGAGUGGCGAACGGGUGUGUAACACGUGAGUAACCUGCCCUUGACUUUGGGAUAACUUCAGGAAACUGGGGCUAAUACCGGAUAGGAGCUCCUGCUGCAUGGUGGGGGAUGGAAAGUUUCGGCGGUUGGGGAUGGACUCGCGGCUUAUCAGCUUGUUGGUGGGGUAGUGGCUUACCAAGGCUUUGACGGGUAGCCGGCCUGCGAGGGUGACCGGCCACAUUGGAACUGAGAUACGGCCCAGACUCCUACGGGAGGCAGCAGUGGGGAAUAUUGCACAAUGGGCGGAAGCCUGAUGCAGCAACGCCGCGUGCGGGAUGACGGCCUUCGGGUUGUAAACCGCUUUCGCCUGUGACGAAGCGUGGGUGACGGUAAUGGGUAAAGAAGCACCGGCUAACUACGUG